This 253-nucleotide ribosomal RNA is filed under the name uncultured bacterium. Its description in RNAcentral is "partial 16S ribosomal RNA". It matches the Rfam family "Bacterial small subunit ribosomal RNA", at positions 524 to 776 of the family's 1533-position model. The record is from RNAcentral.
CACGGGGGGGGCAAGCGUUGUUCGGAAUUACUGGGCGUAAAGGGCGUGUAGGCGGUUAGGUAAGUGGAAUGUGAAAUCCCUCGGCUCACCCGAGGACCUGCAUCCCAAACUGCCUGACUUGAGUAUGGGAGAGGAUGAGGGAAUUCCUGGUGUAGCGGUGAAAUGCGUAGAUAUCAGGAGGAACACCGGUGGCGAAGGCGCUCAUCUGGCCCAAUACUGACGCUGAGGCGCGAAAGCUAGGGGAGCAAACGGG